UACAGAGGUCUCAAGCGUUGUUCGGAUUCAUUGGGCGUAAAGGGUGUGUAGGUGGCGCGCUAAGUCGGGUGUGAAAUUUCGGAGCUUAACUCCGAAACUGCAUUCGAUACUGGCGUGCCUGAGGACUGGAGAGGAGACUGGAAUUUACGGUGCAGCAGUGAAAUGCGUAGAUAUCGUAAGGAAGACCAGUGGCGAAGGCGGGUCUCUGGACAGUUCCUGACACUGAGGCACGAAGGCCAGGGGAGCAAACGGG
Molecule: ribosomal RNA, 253 nt
Filed under: uncultured bacterium
Lineage: Bacteria
Description: partial 16S ribosomal RNA
Rfam family: Bacterial small subunit ribosomal RNA
Source: RNAcentral